AUACGUAGGGUGCGAGCGUUGUCCGGAAUUACUGGGCGUAAAGAGCUCGUAGGUGGUUUGUCGCGUCGUCUGUGAAAUUCCGGGGCUUAACUCCGGGCGUGCAGGCGAUACGGGCAUAACUUGAGUACUGUAGGGGAGACUGGAAUUCCCGGUGUAGCGGUGAAAUGCGCAGAUAUCAGGAGGAACACCGGUGGCGAAGGCGGGUCUCUGGGCAGUAACUGACGCUGAGGAGCGAAAGCAUGGGUAGCGAACAGGAUUAGAUACCCUGGUAGUCCAUGCCGUAAACGGUGGGCGCUAGGUGUAGGGGUCUUCCACGACUUCUGUGCCGUAGCUAACGCAUUAAGCGCCCCGCCUGGGGAGUACGGCCGCAAGGCUAAAACUCAAAGGAAUUGACGGGG
RNAcentral lists this ribosomal RNA (398 nucleotides) under uncultured bacterium. Its description in RNAcentral is "partial 16S ribosomal RNA". It matches the Rfam family "Bacterial small subunit ribosomal RNA", at positions 523 to 918 of the family's 1533-position model. The record is from RNAcentral.